Pangasianodon hypophthalmus (striped catfish) is the source of this 630-nucleotide long non-coding RNA. RefSeq lists it as uncharacterized. The transcript has 2 exons. The record is from RefSeq and is a predicted model, not a curated record. NCBI's taxonomy places the organism in Eukaryota, Metazoa, Chordata, Actinopteri, Siluriformes, Pangasiidae.
CAACCUGAAAAAUGAACCAGAGUACAUAUUUAUUAUACUUUGUACCAGAGCACUGCCUAAAAUCUGAAGGAGUUUGAAGUCUGAAAGCUAACACCUUUUUGACUAGGACAUAUGGUGGGCAAUGAACAUAGCCAUCCAUCCAUUCUCUGUGCCGCUUAUCCUACACAGGAGGAUAAUGAGGGAGUCACAGGGGAGCCUGGAGCCUAUCCCAGUGGACUCGGGGCACAAGGUAGGGAAUAUUCUGGAUGGGAUGCCAGCUCAUCACAGGGUGCAAUCACACACACACCAUGGAUAAUUUUGGAAUGCCAAACAGCCUACGACACGUCUUUGGAUUGGAGGAGGAAACCCCUGAAGCACAAGCAGAACAUGCAGCCCCUGAAGUGUGAGGCAACAGUGCUGACCACUAAGCCACCAGGUCCCCCAAACUCCAUAAUCAGUCAGAGUUUUCCUUUAGGGUUUUUUCGACCUGAGAAUGCAUUUAAGAUGGAAGAUUUGUGCUUUGUGGAUUCCCUGUAACAAGCUACAUUUUUUUCCAUAAGGGAUUGAAUGUUUAUAUCUGCUAAAGCAAAAGUGAUAAUAGGAAUUAACUUAAUUCCCAGAUGUUUCACAACAAUAAAUGGUUAAAAAAUA